RNAcentral lists this ribosomal RNA (497 nucleotides) under uncultured bacterium. Its description in RNAcentral is "partial 16S ribosomal RNA". It matches the Rfam family "Bacterial small subunit ribosomal RNA", at positions 28 to 507 of the family's 1533-position model. The record is from RNAcentral.
GACGAACGCUGGCGGCGUGCCUAAUACAUGCAAGUUGAGCGAUGAAGAUUGGUGCUUGCACCAAUUUGAAGAGCAGCGAACGGGUGAGUAACGCGUGGGGAAUCUGCCUUUGAGCGGGGGACAACAUUUGGAAACGAAUGCUAAUACCGCAUAACAACUUUAAACAUAAGUUUUAAGUUUGAAAGAUGCAAUUGCAUCACUCAAAGAUGAUCCCGCGUUGUAUUAGCUAGUUGGUGAGGUAAAGGCUCACCAAGGCGAUGAUACAUAGCCGACCUGAGAGGGUGAUCGGCCAGAUUGGGACUGAGACACGGCCCAAACUCCGACGGGAGGCAGCAGUAGGGAAUCGUCGGCAAUGGACGAAAGUCUGACCGAGCAACGCCACGUGAGUGAAGAAGGUUUUCGGAUCGUAAAACUCUGUUGGUAGAGAAGAACGUUGGUGAGAGUGGAAAGCUCAUCAAGUGACGGUAACUACCCAGAAAGGGACGGCUAACUACGUG